AGACCAUGUUAAACAUCCUUAAAUAAAAGACAAAACUAAUUGGCCCCUGCUCAAAUGUCUUUGGUUGGGGCGACCGCGGGGAAAUAAAAAACCCCCAUGUGGACCGGGAGCACACUACUCCUACAGCCCAGAGUUACAACUCCAAGUAACAGAAUCUCUGACCUACAAGAUCCGGCAUAGCAGCCGAUCAACGGACCGAGUUACCCUAGGGAUAACAGCGCAAUCUUCUUUUAGAGCCCAUAUCGACAAGAGGGUUUACGACCUCGAUGUUGGAUCAGGACAUCCUAAUGGUGCAGCCGC
RNAcentral lists this ribosomal RNA (300 nucleotides) under Coptodon zillii (redbelly tilapia). RNAcentral's name for it is "partial large subunit ribosomal RNA". It matches the Rfam family "Bacterial large subunit ribosomal RNA", at positions 2197 to 2562 of the family's 2925-position model. Lineage: Eukaryota; Metazoa; Chordata; Actinopteri; Cichliformes; Cichlidae. The record is from RNAcentral.